UGAAGAACGCAGUGAAUUGCGAUAAUAAGUACGAAUUACAGAUAUUAUGAGUACCAUGUUUUUGAAUGCAUAUUGCGCUCUUGGGCUUUGCUCUUGAGCAUAUUCGAUUCAGGGUGUGUUUUUAAACUCGAGCAGAAACGCCGACUUGUUUUUUUCAAGUUUCUGCACGUUGUGACAGUCGUCUCGCAUUGUUCGCGCAAUGUUAGGCACCAUCUGUUUUACGCGGUUUGUUCCGCGACCAAUAUCUUCUACGCACUGUUUGUCCGUGCGGGGCGAGAGGGCUUCGUGCUCGAUUGUCGUGCGCGGCUAAACCGUUUGGUGAUGUUGUUUCAACGGCGCGGCCGUCAGGGACGUUCGGAUGAGAAUGUUUGGAGUCCUGGCUGCGGUUUGUUGAGCUUCGUCGUGAAGCCUUGCGGGCAGUGUUGUCGGAAUUGGUUGAAACCACCUGAGUUGGGUAUGACUACCUGCUGAACUUAAGCAUAUCAUUUAG
Molecule: unclassified non-coding RNA, 490 nt
Filed under: Bursaphelenchus xylophilus (pine wood nematode)
Lineage: Eukaryota; Metazoa; Nematoda; Chromadorea; Rhabditida; Aphelenchoididae
Rfam family: 5.8S ribosomal RNA (bases 1-117)
Source: RNAcentral